ACGUAGGGGGCGAGCGUUGUCCGGAAUUACUGGGCGUAAAGGGUGCGUAGGUGGCCUUUUAAGUUGGAUGUGAAAUCCCCGGGCUUAACUUGGGUGGUGCAUCUAAUACUGGAGGGCUAGAGUGCAGGAGAGGGAAGCGGAAUUCCUAGUGGGGCGGUGAAAGGCGUAGAUAUUAGGAGGAACACCAGUGGCGAAGGCAGCAAACUGGACUGGAACUGACACUGAGGCACGUAAGCGUGGGGAGGAAGGAG
RNAcentral lists this ribosomal RNA (251 nucleotides) under uncultured prokaryote. Its description in RNAcentral is "partial 16S rRNA". It matches the Rfam family "Bacterial small subunit ribosomal RNA", at positions 525 to 775 of the family's 1533-position model. The record is from RNAcentral.